CAACAAUUAGGGUCCUGCCAAAAGGCAGGGACUGAAAGCCAAAGGAUCUACGCGCUCACCAAGCGCUAUGAUAGACUGGCUGCCGAA
Molecule: non-coding RNA, 87 nt
Filed under: Desulfosporosinus lacus
Lineage: Bacteria; Bacillati; Bacillota; Clostridia; Eubacteriales; Desulfitobacteriaceae
Description: c-di-GMP sequence
Rfam family: c-di-GMP-I riboswitch aptamer
About the family: GEMM was predicted in a large-scale screen for bacterial structured RNA regulatory elements.
Source: RNAcentral